Molecule: ribosomal RNA, 1152 nt
Filed under: human oral metagenome
Description: bacterial LSU rRNA
Rfam family: Bacterial large subunit ribosomal RNA
Source: RNAcentral
CAAUCGAACUAGGAGAUAGCUCGUUCUCUCCGAAAUGCAUUUAGGUGCAGCCUUGGUUGAAGAUAUGCGGGGGUAGAGCACUGUAUGGCCUAGGGGGCGUAUAGCUUACCGAAGUCAAGCAAACUGCGAAUACCGUAUAUUGUUUACCGGGAGUGAGUCUACGGAUGACAAGGUCCGUGGACGAGAGGGGAACAGCCCAGACCGCCGGCUAAGGUCCCAAAUCAUGUCUAAGUGGGAAAGGAGGUGGAUAUUCAUAGACAACCAGGAGGUUGGCUUAGAAGCAGCCAUACCUUGAAAGAGUGCGUAAUAGCUCACUGGUCGAGAGUAUCUGCGCCGAAGAUAUAACGGGGCUAAGACAUGAACCGAAGCCGCGGAAGCGUGGUAACACGUUUGGUAGGAGAGCGUUCUGUAGGCCGUAGAAGGUGUUCUGGAAGGGAUGCUGGAGGUAUCAGAAGUGAGAAUGCAGGAAUGAGUAGCGAGAAGGAGGGCGAGAAUCCCUCCGGCCGGAAGUCCAAGGUUUCCAGGGGAAGGUUUGUCCGCCCUGGGGGAGUCGGGACCUAAGCAUAAGCAGAGCUGCGAAGGCGAAUGGAAAACAGGUUAAUAUUCCUGUACCGCUGUGGACUGAUUGAGAGAUGGAGUGACGCAGGAAGGUAUGCGGGAAGGCUGACGGAAUAGCCUUUCUAAGGGUGAAGCGUGGACAUAUAGGCAAAUCCGUAUGUUUAAACGUGAGGCCUGAUGGGUAAGUGCAUUAUGGCAUAAGCCGCAGAUCCUACACUGCCGAGAAAAACUUCUAUUUAGGGAAACAGUGCCCGUACUGUAAACCGACACAGGUGGACAGAGUGAGAAACUUAAGGCCGACAGGACAACUCUGGCUAAGGAACUCUGCAAAAUGGCCCCGUAACUUCGGGAGAAGGGGUACCCGUGUUAACUGAAGAGAGAGACACUUGGAGGUGAAGCGGGUCGCAGUGAAGAGUCCCAAGCAACUGUUUACCAAAAACACAGGUCUAUGCUAAGCUGGAAGGCGACGUAUAUGGGCUGACACCUGCCCAGUGCCGGAAGGUUAAGAGGAGGAUUGAGAGAUUCGAAUUGAAGCCCCGGUGAACGGCGGCCGUAACUAUAACGGUCCUAAGGUAGCGAAAUUCCUUGUCGGGU